Molecule: ribosomal RNA, 253 nt
Filed under: uncultured bacterium
Lineage: Bacteria
Description: partial 16S ribosomal RNA
Rfam family: Bacterial small subunit ribosomal RNA
Source: RNAcentral
UACGGGGGGGGCAAGCGUUGUUCGGAAUUACUGGGCGUAAAGGGCUCGUAGGUGGCCAACUAAGUCAGACGUGAAAUCCCCAGGCUUAACCUGGGAAUUGCAUCCGAUACUGGAUGGCUUGAAUCCGGGAGAGGGAUGCGGAAUUCCAGGUGUAGCGGUGAAAUGCGUAGAUAUCUGGAGGAACACCGGUGGCGAAGGCGGCAUCCUGGACCAACACUGACACUGAGGAGCGAAAGCCAGGGGAGCAAACGGG